Molecule: ribosomal RNA, 253 nt
Filed under: uncultured bacterium
Lineage: Bacteria
Description: partial 16S ribosomal RNA
Rfam family: Bacterial small subunit ribosomal RNA
Source: RNAcentral
UACAGAGGGUGCAAGCGUUAAUCGGAAUUACUGGGCGUAAAGCGUACGUAGGUGGAUUUAUAAGUCGGAUGUGAAAGCCCCGGGCUUAACCUGGGAAUUGCAUACGAUACUGUUAAUCUAGAGUCGUGUAGAGGGAAGUGGAAUUUCCGGUGUAGCGGUGAAAUGCGUAGAUAUCGGAAAGAACACCAGUGGCGAAGGCGGCUUCCUGGACACAGACUGACACUGAAGUACGAAAGCGUGGGGAGCAAACAGG